AUACGGAGGGUGCGAGCGUUACUCAGAGUCACUGGGCGUAAAGCGUCCGUAGGCGGUCGGGUAAGUCGGGUGUGAAAGCCCCGGGCUCAACCUGGGAAGUGCACCCGAUACUGCUCGACCCGAGUGCGGGAGAGGAUGGCGGAAUUCCCGGUGUAGCGGUGAAAUGCGUAGAGAUCGGGAGGAACACCAGUGGCGAAGGCGGCCAUCUGGCCCGCAACUGACGCUGAGGGACGAAAGCGUGGGGAGCAAACAGGAUUAGAAACCCCGGUAGUCC
RNAcentral lists this ribosomal RNA (274 nucleotides) under uncultured bacterium. RNAcentral's name for it is "partial 16S ribosomal RNA". It matches the Rfam family "Bacterial small subunit ribosomal RNA", at positions 523 to 796 of the family's 1533-position model. The record is from RNAcentral.